This 213-nucleotide long non-coding RNA is filed under the name Nicotiana benthamiana. Its description in RNAcentral is "long non-coding RNA (NBEN_LNC025397)". The record is from RNAcentral. Lineage: Eukaryota; Viridiplantae; Streptophyta; Magnoliopsida; Solanales; Solanaceae.
GAACAAUUUGAACUUUGAACAAUUAAAGAGGCUUCAUUCAUCUCCUUGAUUUUAUUUUUGAAAUCAACAAUGUCAUUUUCCAAAAAAUUAUUUUCUUCCUUUAGCUUUUCAUUUUCACAAGUCAAUUUUUCAAAAUCUUUUUCUUUUAAUGAAGGUUGUUUUUCAAAAUCUUUUUCUUGCAAAGAAAGUGUUCUCUCAAAAUCUUUUUCUUGC